ACCUACCUUUUUCUAGAANAUAGCCUGAGGAAACUCGGAUUAAUAUUCUAUAAUACAGUAUUUUCGCAUGAAAAUAUUAUUAAAGCAGAAAUGUGGAAAAAGAUGGGCAUGCGCCCGAUUAGUUAGUUGGUGGGGUAAAGGCCUACCAAGACGAUGAUCGGUAGGGGGCCUGAGAGGGUGAUCCCCCACACUGGUACUGAGAUACGGACCAGACUCCUACGGGAGGCAGCAGUGAGGAAUAUUGGUCAAUGGAGGAAACUCUGAACCAGCCACGCCGCGUGCAGGAMGAAUGCCUUAUGGGUUGUAAACUGCUUUUGUUUAGGAAUAAAAAUUUCUACGUGAUAGAAAUUGUGAAGGUACUAAACGAAUAAGUGUCGGCAAACUCCGUGCCAGCAGCCGCGGUAAUACGGAGGACACAAGCGUUAUCCGGAUUUAUUGGGUUUAAAGAGUGCGUAGGCGGUUUAUUAAGUCAGUAGUGAAAUGUUACAGCUUAACUGUUAAAAUGGCUAAUGAUACUGAUAGACUUGAGUGAGAUUGGAGUAAUUGGAAUGUGUGGUGUAGCGGUGAAAUGCAUAGAGAUCACACAGAACACCGAUCGCGAAAGCAGGUUACUAAAUCUAUACUGACGCUGAGGCACGAAAGCGUGGGGAGCAAACAGGAUUAGAUACCCUGGUAGUCCACGCCGUACACGAUGAUCACUAGUCGUUGGAUUUUAUUAUUCAGUGGCUAAGCGAAAGUGAUAAGUGAUCCACCUGGGGAGUACGAUCGCAAGGUUGAAACUCAAAGGAAUUGACGGGGGCCCGCACAAGCGGUGGAGCAUGUGGUUUAAUUCGAUGAUACGCGAGGAACCUUACCAAGGUUUAAAUGUACUACGAAUAAGCUAGAAAUAGUUUAGUCUUCGGACGGAGUACAAGAUGCUGCAUGGUUGUCGUCAGCUCGUGCCGUGAGGUGUUGGGUUAAGUCCCUCAACGAGCGCAACCCUCAUUGUUAGUUGCCAACGAAUAAUGUCGGGGACUCUAGCAAGACUGCCGACCUAGGUCGAGAGGAAGGUGGGGACGACGUCAAAUCAUCACGGCUCUUAUAUCUUGGGCUACACACGUGCUACAAUGGUCGGUACAAAGGGUUGCUA
This 1129-nucleotide ribosomal RNA is filed under the name Blattabacterium cuenoti. RNAcentral describes it as "bacterial SSU rRNA". It matches the Rfam family "Bacterial small subunit ribosomal RNA", at positions 124 to 1252 of the family's 1533-position model. Lineage: Bacteria; Pseudomonadati; Bacteroidota; Flavobacteriia; Flavobacteriales; Blattabacteriaceae. The record is from RNAcentral.